GUGGUCACAGACUGUUUCUUGUUUAACGGCAUGGUGGUAACCUUAAUAAUUCCUUCCUGUGUGUACUGCGUUAUGGCCACUCUGUAAACCCGUAUUCUCUCCAGAACUAAUCUCCUGUGUAUUAUGUUUCUUUAUUCUUAGUACUUCCAGUGUCUAUACCCAAAUUACAAAUCCCCUCUAUUCUGAAAGACCAAAGAAAAUUUUAGCAGAUCUGAACUGGGAGUUCUGAGUUUUGUCUUUGGAAUUAGGGUGAUUUUUUUUUUCUUUUUUAAUGAAAUGAAGGUAAGAAUAAUUUUAACAAAGGAAAAAAAGAAAGUUUCAUAUGUCUCUGGUGUAAUUUAAUAAUAUCCAAUUUACAAAAGCAGGAGGUAGAUUUAGCUUUAGUAUAAAGACCCUAGCUGUUCAAAAGUAGCUCAAAAUGUAGUAAGUUGCUUGUCACUAAGCAAGUAAUCAACAACUAUAAGGUAGAUGGUUGAGUCAUGUACCCUCAUGGAGGAUACAUCAACUUCUAAUUCAUGUAGAAUUUCCAGCAGAGAAUACAUCUCAGUAGUCACUGAAGCAUUUAAUUAGACAUUCUAGUACCUAUCAGAAUCCAAAGAGUACAGUUGAAUUAUAUAUAUUAUACAUGUUCUAAUAAAUUCUCUUUUGAAUCAUUCAGUUCCUGAGAAGAUUAUGUGUUCAGCUGAACUGCAGGAGAAACUUAGUUUUUACUGAUUUCCCUAGGGGUUGGUUUUUUGUUUGCUCUCUAGAAUAAAUUGAUCCCACUGCUGUACAUCAAAUACUCAAGCGUUAGCACAAAAGACAUUCACCCUCAAAACAUUCAGAUUUAAUGUCAACGUAUUACGCAUUCACUGAUAUUUUUUAAAAUGUCAGUCUCUGUAUUAUCUUGCUUUAGUCUUUAUUGCAUUAUCAAGACACCUGCAUGCUAUGAAUGUUUUAAGCAGCUUUUACCAAGAAAGUCACGUUAGAUUUUAUGAGUAGUCUCCUUUUCGUGUGCUGUCAUGAGUAUAUUGUUUGUACAAAUGUUAACUUUUGACUGUAUUAUUUCUUUUGAACACAGAAAGCUGUUCAGGGGAAAUUGCCUAUGUUUACUUUCUUGCAUAUUCAUAUUUGGUAGCUCUUUACCAUACUGUUACUGCCUAUUUAGGUUUACUAGUAUUUUAAAUCAGUUAAUGUUAAAUACCGAAAGAUACUUGGUAUAUAUUAAUCGUGAAAAUUUGAUGAAGGGCAAUUUAAGGCCGCAUUUUAAGUCACUAUAUGUAAAUUUAAACACCCACGUGUUACCGCAGGAUCUCUUUAUCAAAAUUUCAGUUGAAAGCACCCGUUACCUUUCAGAUUGC
Molecule: long non-coding RNA, 1340 nt
Filed under: Homo sapiens (human)
Lineage: Eukaryota; Metazoa; Chordata; Mammalia; Primates; Hominidae
Description: non-protein coding lnc-NOG-1:2
Source: RNAcentral